ACCUGAUGGUAUGGGCAUUUACAGAGCAGGUCCCUAAAGAGCUCCUAGGUCUCAAAGAAGAGUUCCCGAUCCGUCUGUUUGAAACUUGUUAUUGCCUUUCGCAGCU
Small nucleolar RNA from Malania oleifera, 106 nucleotides. NCBI's taxonomy places the organism in Eukaryota, Viridiplantae, Streptophyta, Magnoliopsida, Santalales, Ximeniaceae. The record is from RefSeq and is a predicted model, not a curated record.